Monopterus albus (swamp eel) is the source of this 254-nucleotide long non-coding RNA. RefSeq lists it as uncharacterized. The transcript is spliced from 3 exons. NCBI's taxonomy places the organism in Eukaryota, Metazoa, Chordata, Actinopteri, Synbranchiformes, Synbranchidae. The record is from RefSeq and is a predicted model, not a curated record.
AGCAGACAUUUAAAAAAAAAUAGUCAUAUGUACUUCACAGUGGCACAAGAUUCUUCAGAUAAACAGUGCAGUGCGAUCAAAGAGGAAGAAGGUGUGAAAAGAAAUACAACGGAGACUGCCUGCUUCACAAUAAGUAGUACAAGAUGGAAAGCAAGACCGCUGUCUUUUUUUUUAAUAACCUUCCUGUGAGUGCAGACCAGGAGACUAUGAGUAAGGUCAGCCAGAGUCACCCCUUCAUGUGUAAUGCAUGCAAG